GGUUUGGGGGGCCCCCGGGAAUAAUUGGGGGAGGGGGGGAGACUCAAUUCAUCAUCCCCUUAAGUUCUUGGGCUACACACGUGCUACAAGGCUGUACAAAGGGAAGCACAGCGCAAGCUGAAGCGGAUCUCAGAAAAGCAGUCCCAGUUCGGAUUGUGGGCUGCAACCCGCCCACAUGAAGUCGGAGUUGCUAGUAAUCGCGGAUCAGAAUGCCGCGGGAAUACGUUCCCGGGCCUGUACACACCGCCCGUCACACCAUGGGAGUGGGAGCGCCCGAAGCCGGUAUCCUAACCGUAAGGAGGGAGCCGUCGAAGGCGAGACCAAGACUGGGGGAAGUCGUAACAAGGUAACCUAAUCUAGAGCAUCGUGAGGUACCGAGC
Molecule: ribosomal RNA, 380 nt
Filed under: uncultured bacterium
Lineage: Bacteria
Description: partial 16S ribosomal RNA
Rfam family: Bacterial small subunit ribosomal RNA
Source: RNAcentral